Molecule: ribosomal RNA, 253 nt
Filed under: uncultured bacterium
Lineage: Bacteria
Description: partial 16S ribosomal RNA
Rfam family: Bacterial small subunit ribosomal RNA
Source: RNAcentral
UACAGAGGGUGCGAGCGUUAAUCGGAAUUACUGGGCGUAAAGCGUGCGUAGACGGUCGCGUAAGUCAGAUGUGAAAGCCCCGGGCUCAACCUGGGAAUUGCAUUUGAGACUGCUCUGCUCGGGUGCGGAAGAGGGAAGCGGAAUUUCCGGUGUAGCGGUGAAAUGCGUAGAUAUCGGAAGGAACACCAGUGGCGAAGGCGGGUCUCUGGGCAGUAACUGACGCUGAGGAACGAAAGCGUGGGUAGCGAACAGG